ACGCCCGACACCUACGGGGGGCAGCAGUAGGGAAUCUUCCACAAUGGGCGCAAGCCUGAUGGAGCAACACCGCGUGAGUGAAGAAGGGUUUCGGCUCGUAAAGCUCUGUUGUUGGAGAAGAACGUGCGUGAGAGUAACUGUUCACGCAGUGACGGUAUCCAACCAGAAAGUCACGGCUAACUACGUGCCAGCAGCCGCGGUAAUCUGAGCGGGCUGGCAAGGC
This 223-nucleotide ribosomal RNA is filed under the name uncultured bacterium. RNAcentral's name for it is "partial 16S ribosomal RNA". It matches the Rfam family "Bacterial small subunit ribosomal RNA", at positions 328 to 539 of the family's 1533-position model. The record is from RNAcentral.